ACCAUGACCACAGGGGCCUCUUCCCUGUCCCCCCUCGCCUACCCCCGUCUGUCCUCCAUGCAGCAGCCAGCCAGCCAGGUGAUCCUUUUAAAACACAAUCCGAUCAAGUUCUUCCUCUGCUUAAAACGCUCAGUGAUUCCCCUCAGACAUGGAUUAAAAUCCCUGUUCCUCGCCCUGACCUACAAGGGCCUGGGUGGUCAGUCCUGGAUCUGUCUGCCUCUGGCCUCAGCCCCUCCCAGCUUCCUCUGCACAGCCCUCUGCCUGGCUCCUUCCUGGAGGACCCAUCCCUGCUAGUGGGGUUACCCGACCUACCCCUGCCCUGCACUGACCCCCGCCCUCCUACCUCGUUGCACACCAGCCUCUGAGAUGACCUUCUCGGUCCUGUUUACCGAAGUUUCCUGGUACUGGGGGCAGCGCCUGGGGCAGAGCAGGCUCUGUCAACCCCCACUGAAUACAUACGCUGUGCAGGUGCUUAGCACUCGG
Homo sapiens (human) is the source of this 483-nucleotide long non-coding RNA. The record is from Ensembl. NCBI's taxonomy places the organism in Eukaryota, Metazoa, Chordata, Mammalia, Primates, Hominidae.